RNAcentral lists this ribosomal RNA (254 nucleotides) under uncultured bacterium. Its description in RNAcentral is "partial 16S ribosomal RNA". It matches the Rfam family "Bacterial small subunit ribosomal RNA", at positions 524 to 776 of the family's 1533-position model. The record is from RNAcentral.
UACGGGGGGAGCAAGCGUUGUUCGGAUUUACUGGGCGUAAAGGGCGCGUAGGCGGCCACCGCAAGUCGGUUGUGAAAUCUCUGGGCUUAACCCAGAAAGGUCAACCGAUUCUGCGGGGCUAGAGUGCAGAAGGGGCAACUGGAAUUCUCGGUGUAGCGGUGAAAUGCGUAGAUAUCGAGAGGAACACCUGCGGCGAAGGCGGGUUGCUGGGCUGACACUGACGCUGAAGCGCGAAAGCUAGGGGAGCGAACGGG